GCCAGACUCCUACGGGAGGCAGCAGUGGGGAAUAUUGCACAAUGGGGGAAACCCUGAUGCAGCGACGCCGCGUGAGUGAAGAAGUAUCUCGGUACGUAAAGCUCUAUCAGCAGGGAAGAAAAUGACGGUACCUGACCAAGAAGCCCCGGCUAACUACGUGCCAGCAGCCGCGGUAAUACGUAGGGGGCAAGCGUUAUCCGGAUUUACUGGGUGUAAAGGGGGCGCAGACGGCAGCGCAAGCCAGGAGUGAAAGCCCGGGGCCCAACCCCGGGACUGCUCUUGGAACUGCGCGGCUGGAGUGCAGGAGGGGCAGGCGGAAUUCCUGGUGUAGCGGUGAAAUGCGUAGAGAUCGGGAGGAACACCAGUGGCGAAGGCGGCCUACUGGGCUUUAACUGACGCUGAAGCACGAAAGCGUGGGUAGCAAACAGGAUUAGAUACCCCAGUACC
This 447-nucleotide ribosomal RNA is filed under the name uncultured bacterium. Its description in RNAcentral is "bacterial SSU rRNA". It matches the Rfam family "Bacterial small subunit ribosomal RNA", at positions 330 to 794 of the family's 1533-position model. The record is from RNAcentral.